RNAcentral lists this ribosomal RNA (513 nucleotides) under uncultured bacterium. RNAcentral's name for it is "partial 16S ribosomal RNA". It matches the Rfam family "Bacterial small subunit ribosomal RNA", at positions 28 to 523 of the family's 1533-position model. The record is from RNAcentral.
GAUGAACGCUGGCGGCGUGCCUAAUACAUGCAAGUCGAGCGAACAGACGAGGAGCUUGCUCCUCUGACGUUAGCGGCGGACGGGUGAGUAACACGUGGAUAACCUACCUAUAAGACUGGGAUAACUUCGGGAAACCGGAGCUAAUACCGGAUAAUAUAUUGAACCGCAUGGUUCAAUAGUGAAAGACGGUUUUGCUGUCACUUAUAGAUGGAUCCGCGCCGCAUUAGCUAGUUGGUAAGGUAACGGCUUACCAAGGCAACGAUGCGUAGCCGACCUGAGAGGGGGAUCGGCCACACGGGAACUGAGACACGGUCCAGACUCCUACGGGAGGCAGCAGUAGGGAAUCUUCCGCAAUGGGCGAAAGCCUGACGGAGCAACGCCGCGUGAGUGAUGAAGGUCUUCGGAUCGUAAAACUCUGUUAUUAGGGAAGAACAAAUGUGUAAGUAACUAUGCACGUCUUGACGGUACCUAAUCAGAAAGCCACGGCUAACUACGUGCCAGCAGCCGCGGUAA